Molecule: long non-coding RNA, 347 nt
Organism: Scleropages formosus (Asian bonytongue)
Lineage: Eukaryota; Metazoa; Chordata; Actinopteri; Osteoglossiformes; Osteoglossidae
Exons: 3
Source: RefSeq, a predicted model, not a curated record
UACGGAUAUAUCUUCCUAGAAAAGUGUCCCUCUUGCAAAAAGAUUAUUUGCCCUUGUGUACGCUGUGAGGCUUAAGAAUCCAAUGAAUAUUGUGAGGAAACAGAUGGCUUUUCCAUUUACCGAGAUGGAAGUUUUGACAAUUGCGUUUUCGCUUGUGGUGUUCAGUUUGUUCACGGCAAGCGGAAUGUUCAAAGAGAAAUGCGCGCAUAUCAAAGACAGAGAAAGCCAAAGCUGUGGUCUGGGCGAGGACCUGAUCCUGGUCUGACAUGCUAAUGAAGCCCAAAGCCGACAUCAGAAAGACAUUUUUAUCUGAACCUGUUUAUUUAUUUAUUUUGUUGGACACCUAA